AAGGAGGGGCCUCCCGGUCCUUCAUCAGUCCUGGCAUCAGGACCAAUCUGGCUGCAUCCUUUGCUCAGCGCAACUCUGGAACAUCUUAAGAGGCGACCGCAGCUGUCAACCAGGGACCUGACCGUCGCAGGAGGCAUCCGCCAGAUACCUUCCCCCUCCCUAACCUAAUGCUCUGCAGCGGCGGCCUCGGUACCCACUGGAGGCCCCAGACUUGUCUGACCAUUGCAAAAGCAUUUAUAGCAAUAGCCUCUGAUUACAUUGCUGAGAUCACCAACAUCCGACCUAGCUUUGAAAUAGAGACCUUCAUAUGUGUCAUGACCAGUGCAGAUGAAAUUAUAUUACCCUUCUGUGAUUUGGACACUGCACUGACAGGGGGACAUGAGUUGAAUCCCUGGUGUGGGAAGAGUCCACAUGCCAAGGGGCACCGAAGCCCAUGGGCCACAGUUACUGAGCAUGCUGCCCUAGAGCCCCUGCUCUACAAGAGAAGCUACUGCAAUAAGAAGCCCGCACACAGCAGCUAGAGAGUUGCACCUGCUCAUCGAAACUAGAGAAAACCUGCACACAGCAAUGAAGACCCAGUGCAGCCAAAAAUAAAUAAAGAGACUUCUUGGUUCCUCUUCACUUUCUGCCAUGAGAGUGGUAUCAUCUGCAUAUCUGAGGUUGUGGAU
Molecule: long non-coding RNA, 668 nt
Organism: Bubalus bubalis (water buffalo)
Lineage: Eukaryota; Metazoa; Chordata; Mammalia; Artiodactyla; Bovidae
Exons: 3
Source: RefSeq, a predicted model, not a curated record